ACACGACUUCUGAAAGGCUGCCGACCCCUGCUCUAGAUGCAUGCAGCCAGGAGCUCUUCUCGAACCAAGAGAAAGGCAGCCAGUCACAGCAUCCGGUGCUUGGGGAAGGACAAACAACAGAGGAGGUUCCUGGUGCAACCUUGAGAUCUCUCAGCUGUCAUUCUUAUCACCGGCCGACAGACUGAGAAGACUCAGGAAGAGGCUGCGCAAAAGCAAAGAAGACAUGCUGCAUGAAGUCAUGCAGCAGUCUGUAAACAAGAAUCGAAAGUCACAGAAGUGGAGGGAGAGUGAAAGGAGGAUCUGCCAGGAAAAUGCAACACACCGGUGACAAAGAACGGAAUGGCUGAUUAGCAUAAUGGAGCCACAAUCAGACUCUAUCCAAGCAUUCGUCGCUAUGCAGGCAGAGCACUACCACGCUCGCCCCUCCACCCCCGCAGCCUUUGUCCCAAAACUCUUUCCCUUGUGCCCCCAUGUCCCCUCCAACCCACUUUCCCCAACAUCCGGGUUCUUACCACCCCCAGCUGCGUCCUACACCUGUAGCUUCACUACCCACCCACAAAAACAACGACUCUUAUUCACUGCACUCAACCCCCCUCAACAUGCCUUAUAGCCAUCCUGAAGUGCAUCACUCAGUGCACAGCACUCCAGACAGGAUUCGAGUGUAUGAAAUCAGGACAUACUCAAGCCUAUGAGUGAACUGGUCCCCACCCCACUCCCUUGCCCUCUUGUUAUUUCUGUGUUACUUUGGUUUUUUUCAAUAAUUGAAUUUACUUUUCAAUAAAUCAAGUUUUUUAC
Long non-coding RNA from Chelonoidis abingdonii (Abingdon island giant tortoise), 795 nucleotides. RefSeq lists it as uncharacterized. The record is from RefSeq and is a predicted model, not a curated record. NCBI's taxonomy places the organism in Eukaryota, Metazoa, Chordata, Testudines, Testudinidae.